Molecule: ribosomal RNA, 254 nt
Filed under: uncultured bacterium
Lineage: Bacteria
Description: partial 16S ribosomal RNA
Rfam family: Archaeal small subunit ribosomal RNA
Source: RNAcentral
UACCAGCGGUCCAAGUCGCAGCCAUGUUUAUUGGGUCUAAAACAUCCGUAGCUCGCUUUGCAAGUCCUUUGUGAAAUCUGGCAUCCUAAGUGUCGGGCGCGCAUAGGAAACUGCAAGGCUAGAGACCGGGAGACGUAAGAAGUACAGUUAGGGUAGCGGUAAAAUGCGUUGAUCCUUACUGGACUAACAAUAGCGAAGGCAUCUUACGAGAACGGAUCUGACAGUCAGGGAUGAAGGCUAGGGGCGCAAAACGG